RNAcentral lists this transfer RNA (75 nucleotides) under Anaerolineae bacterium. RNAcentral's name for it is "tRNA-Pro". It matches the Rfam family "tRNA". Rfam says of the family: Transfer RNA (tRNA) molecules are approximately 80 nucleotides in length. Their secondary structure includes four short double-helical elements and three loops (D, anti-codon, and T loops). Lineage: Bacteria; Bacillati; Chloroflexota; Anaerolineae. The record is from RNAcentral.
CGGGGUGUGGCGCAGCCUGGCUAGCGCGCUUGCAUGGGGUGCAAGAGGCCCUGGGUUCAAAUCCCAGCACCCCGA